RNAcentral lists this unclassified non-coding RNA (200 nucleotides) under soil metagenome. RNAcentral's name for it is "partial contains internal transcribed spacer 2 and large subunit ribosomal RNA". The record is from RNAcentral.
GGAGGUUUUUGUUGCUGGCCUCGUUUGAAGCCAGCUCCUCCUAAACGAAUUAGUGGGGUCCGCCGUGCCGACCCUCGACGUGAUAAGUACGCUUCUACGUCUUGGGGUUUCGCACUGUCGCCUGCUUCCAACCGUCUUUGAAUGAAGACAAUCUUAUAGACCUUGACCUCAAAUCGGGUGAGACUACCCGCUGAACUUAA